Molecule: ribosomal RNA, 1938 nt
Filed under: marine metagenome
Description: bacterial LSU rRNA
Rfam family: Bacterial large subunit ribosomal RNA
Source: RNAcentral
AUAGGGGGACCACCCUCUAAGCCUAAAUACUCUUCAGUGACCGAUAGUGAACUAGUACCGUGAGGGAAAGGUGAAAAGAACCCCUAUUAGGGGAGUGAAAUAGAACCUGAAACCGUAUGCCUACAAACAGUCGAAGCUCUUUUUAGAGUGAGGGCGUACCUUUUGUAUAAUGGGUCAGUGACUUAAUUUAUUAAGCAAGCUUAAGCCAUCUAGGUGUAGGCGCAGCGAAAGCAAGUCUUAAUAGGGCGAUUAGUUUAAUGAAUUAGACCCGAAAACGAAUGAGCUUACCAUGAGCAGGUUGAAAGUUGGGUAACACCAACCGGAGGACCGAACCAGUUGACGUUGAAAAGUCUUUGGAUGACUUGUGGUAAGGGGUGAAAGGCCAACCAAAUUCGUAGAUAGCUGGUUUUCCGCGAAAACUAUUUAGGUAGUGCGUCGAAUAAAUAGAUGUUUAGAGGUAGAGCACUAAAUGGGCUAGGGGGAAGAGAUUCUUACCAAACCUAAUAAAACUCCGAAUGCUAGACAUUGUUCUUCGGCAGACAGACUGUGGGUGCUAAGGUCCAUGGUCGAGAGGGAAAGAGCCCAGACCACCAGAUAAGGUCCCAAAAUCAUGAUUAAGUGUGAAAGGAUGUGGAAAUUCCUUAACAGCCGGGAGGUUGGCUUAGAAGCAGCCAUCCUUUAAAGAUAGCGUAACAGCUCACCGGUCUAAUAGAGUUUCUGCGCCGAAGAUGUAACGGGGCUAAAAUCAUAUACCGAAUCUGUGGGUUUAUAAAACUUUCGAGUUUUAUAAGCGGUAGCGGAACGUUCUGUAAGCCUGUGAAGGGAUACCCGUGAGGGAUCCUGGAGGUAUCAGAAGUGCGAAUGCUGACAUAAGUAACGAUAAACGAAGUGAAAAACUUCGUCGCCGAAAAUCUAAGGGUUUCUAUGCAAGGUUAAUCCGCGUAGAGUUAGUCGGCACCUAAGGCGAGGGCGAAAGCCGUAGUCGAUGGAAACAAGGUUAAUAUUCCUUGACCUGAUGGUAGUGACGGAUUUCGUAAGUUGUGAGUUCUUAAUGGAUUGAACUUGCCGCGAAGAGGUCCCAAGAAAUAGCUCCAUCAUGAAGACCGUACCCGAAACCGACACAGGUAGAUUAAUAGAGUAUAUUUAGGCGCUUGAGAGAAUGAUGUUGAAGGAACUCGGCAAAAUGCUUCCGUAACUUCGGGAUAAGGAAGACCCUUUUGUAGGCAACUAUAGAAGGGUGGCACAAGCCAGGGAGAAGCGACUGUUUAUCAAAAACACAGGGCUCUGCUAACACGUAAGUGGAUGUAUAGGGUCUGACGCCUGCCCGGUGCUGGAAGGUUAAUGCGGUUGGUGCAAGCUAACUUCUGAAGCCCCAGUAAACGGCGGCCGUAACUAUAACGGUCCUAAGGUAGCGAAAUUCCUUGUCGGGUAAGUUCCGACCUGCAUGAAUGGCGUAACGAUUUCUCCGCUGUCUCCAACAUCAACUCAGUGAAAUUGAAUUCUCCGUGAAGAUGCGGAGUUCGCGUAGUUAGACGGAAAGACCCCGUGCACCUUUACUGCAACUUUACAUUGGUGUUAGGAAAAACAUAUUUAGCAUAGGAGGGAGACUUUGAAGCAAAGGCGUCAGCUUUUGUGGAGUCACCAGUGAAAUACCUCUUUUGUUUUUCUUGACAUCUAACCGCUAGCCGUCAUCCGGCAGCGAGACAUUGUAUGGUGGGUAGUUUGACUGGGGCGGUCGCCUCCCAAAUAGUAACGGAGGCGUGCGAAGGUAGGCUCAGAACGGUCAGAAAUCGUUCGUAGAGUGCAAUGGCAUAAGCCUGCCUGACUGUGAGACUGACAAGUCGAGCAGAGACGAAAGUCGGUCAUAGUGAUCCGGUGGUUCUGAGUGGAAGGGCCAUCGCUCAACGGAUAAAAGGUACGCCGGGGAUAACAGGCUGA